This is a long non-coding RNA of Talpa occidentalis (Iberian mole), 203 nucleotides long. RefSeq lists it as uncharacterized. The transcript has 3 exons. Lineage: Eukaryota; Metazoa; Chordata; Mammalia; Eulipotyphla; Talpidae. The record is from RefSeq and is a predicted model, not a curated record.
GCCAGCAACUUCCACAGUCUCACUGCAAGCAGUGCCAUCCAGACCACCUCAGGAUUGGGUGCUAUGAGGUACAUUUAUUCAUUCUGAGAAAGAGACAACACUUAUACGUAAGUGCACGGGAGCCUUCCACAUUCCCAUCCAACAGCUCUCUGAAAUUUACAGCCAGACUCCAUCAGUUUAACAGAGACAUAGGUGAGCGAGUG